This 3530-nucleotide long non-coding RNA is filed under the name Homo sapiens (human). Its description in RNAcentral is "non-protein coding lnc-EDRF1-1:21". The record is from RNAcentral. Lineage: Eukaryota; Metazoa; Chordata; Mammalia; Primates; Hominidae.
ACUGGUUCCUUGCAGCUGUGACUCCCCAGGGUAAGAGGCAAAGAGCCACCAGGUCCCAGCUGAGGAAGCCCUGUGGUCAGCUCAGACAGGGAUGCGGACUGAAGCCGAAGCAGGUGUUAGUAAUUGUCGUACCUACAGACGAGGAAACCGAGCCUCCAUGAAGUGAAGUGACUCACCCACAGUCACACAGCUAAUAUAUGCCAGAGCCCACAGCAGAACCCAGACGUACUGAGGCCAAGUUCCAUGCCAGCAUAAAACAGGCUCCAGUUCUCCCUGGAUUCCAGGAACACCAUCUCCUUCCUCGUCCCUUCCAUCCCAGGGAAGGUUUACACUGAAAAUUUUUUGUGAUGAAAAGAUUUGAAGAAGAUGACAGGAGAUGGAGAAGCACCAGCUGAUCUGCAGACUCCAAGGAGGUCCCAGGAAGAGGUGUCAUCCACUAAGAUCUUCUGGGACAGGAAAGCCCUGUGAUACCUCUUACAUCACACCAAACAGAGCCCCACACCAAGAAAAGAGCUGCCCACACCUCACAGAAGCCAUGUUAGUGGACAUUUCUCCACUCUGGAAGCCUUCCUGCGUGGUGGAGGCCAGUGCAGACCAUCCUCUGCCCAGAAGAGUUGCAUUCUAAAUGACCCCUCAGAGAGCCCUCUGGAUGGCCGCCUCUCCCACAGGUCCCUGCAAUCACAUAAAAAACACUCAUUGCAGCCAAGAUGCACAAAGCACAGUAUUGAUUUCAUACUCAGGUUUUUCCAAAACAAAUCAUAAACCCACACCAAUUAUGUCCAAUCAGUUUUAUGGAUAAAGAAGCCUGAGACUCUCCAACAGGAGAGCUUGAGUUUCCCUUCUCACUCUUGUGCUGGGUGUCCUUUUCCUACCUCCAGACCAUCACAAGGAUAUCUGUAAUGUAGAUGAGGCCAGUCCUUUUGCCCAAUGUUGACAGACAAGAGGAAGAUUCCAGGGAGAAAUGCCGCAGCAGCAAAUGAAUAUGAAUGAUGCUUUUCCACUUUGUGCUUAUAAAAUGCCUUUUGUACCAGAAUCUCAAAGCUCUCCAGGAAGCAAGGCUUUGAAUGGGACUUUCACUCGGGGUAAACAUGAGUGGUCGGAGCUUCCCAAGUCAUUUGUGAUAAGAAAGAACAAAAGUCCGGGCACUUUUAAAAUGCAAUAUUCUUGCCUUCUGGGUAGUAAACAAAGUGUGCAGAUGGAUAAUGACAUCUGUGGAUUCUGGCUCCACUUCCUAGAGAGAAAAAAAACAUGUAAAUAAAUACGUAAAAAAUUGUCAUAUGUGGAUGACACCCUUGGUUCAUCCAGUAGUUACCAUUCUGCCUAACAUUCACGAGCUAUGGAUUCUAUUACUGGGUCCCUUGUGACUGCAUUACACUGAGAAAGUAAAAUAUAUUUCUCUUCAAUGCCUGAGGGAAGAUAAAUGUUAUAGAAAUGUUUAGUAAAAAGGUCCAGUCAGUGGCUUUGACACUUGAUGCUUUUGCACUAAGCAGUGCUGUCCUUUUGUUCUCUCCAUUGGAAGCCUCCUUGUAAAUGUUUAAUAGCUAAAUGACUCACCAGAGUCUGCAAAGGUCAGGCCCUUAACUGGAAAGGCAGAGGGGAACUCAGAAGCAGUCUCUAUCAGAUUGAUUGGAAGGUUCAUUUGAGAAUUCUUUCCUUCUCAUCCUUAGUUUAAGGUGCACAUGCAGCAUGAAUAACUGCCUGGGCUCCAGCCACCGACAUGCCUGAACAGCAGACAUUAGUGACUCUGACACUCUUCCUAGGAUUCAUUCAGGGUAUUAAUCAGCUUCAGAGGAAAACUCACAAACACUCUAAGAAGAAUUCUGUUGCAAAAGUGAUACCUAGCAGAGACAGUCUGCCCUUGCAGUCACUUGCAUUAUAUCCCAAAAGUCAAUGCUAAGAGCUUGCAAAAGAAUUUGAGUUCAUCAGGUGUCCAGAAAAUAAACUCCUUCAAAUGCAGUCGAAAUAGUUUCAAUAACUUCAAAUACUCUGCCUGUUAUGAAUCUACAGAGCAGCAAUUAAAUAAUUAUCAGUUAAUGAUUCAAUGUCAGAUACCUAUAACCAAGGGUGUCUUGCUAUUACACUGAAAAUUACAUAUUAAGGUUUUGCUGGGGUGCAGAAAAUGAUCCCCCAAAAUAUAGUGCUUCGGCAUGCCGAGUACUUUGAAAAUCGGAAGGUUUUAGAAAUCAGCCUUAGACCCAAGCUCUCUUUCUGACUUUCCUUACCUCCUUGUUUCUCUGAUCCUCUUUCUAGAAGCACCUGGAGGGACUGGACUGACUCUCUGGAAUUUUCUUAUCUAACAAAGCUUCUUUCCAAAAAAAAAAAGGCAAUUGUCUUAAGACCACCCCCCCCAUCUUUAGGAAUCUCAUCAAAUGACCAGGAAAGAAGCAAAGAGACGGAGUUGUCACUAUACCCAGAUAGACUACUCAUCUAUUCUCGAGGGCAGGUCUGACAACCUUUGUGCAAGGUGACGUUUCACUCCUCACCUUCCCAACACCUCCCCCAGAGCUCAGAGGAACUUUUGUCAUUUACUCCUACACACCUCAUCCCCGCCUUCCCUAAGAAGAGAGGGUAGACAGGCAUCUGGACCCUGCUGGGUUAUUAGGCCAUUACUCUUCUGCAAUUCCCCAUGGUAUGCACGUUAAAAUAAACGCAUGCCUUUUCUCCUGUUGCUCUGCCUUUUUCAGUUCAUUUUCAGCAAACCUUCAGAGGGUGAAAGGGGAAGUUUUCUUCUUUGUCCCUACAUUUUGCAUUGUCUUAUACCUUGACAUUUUUCUACUCGUCAAGUUAAACUGUAAAGCAAAAUAUAGAUCAUUAGCUGACUAAUUAUUUUUGAGUUAAAAAGUAGCUAGCAUUUGGUUUUGGGUACCACAGUGUGUCUAAUAUAGUCUUUUUAGAAGCAAUGAUCUAUAAACAUUUUUUAUCAUUCACCAUUUCUGGUUGAGUAAAGUGACUCACAGUUGUAGUCCUACCUAUUCAGGACGCUGAGGCAGGAGGAUCACUUCAGCCGAGGAAGGAGUUCAAGUCCAGCCUGGACGGUCUCUAAAAAUAUUAAAAUUUAAAAAAAAUUCUGAACAUGCAACCCCAAUAUGUAUUUAUUUGUAAAUGAUAUACUGUCACUAAUACAUUGACAUUAAACAAGUAGAAAACAAUGUAACAUUUUAAUUUAUUGACUGAUAAUUAGUUCUAUUUUCAUUAAUAUUUUUUAAAAGAGCAAAACUGCUGAAUAGGCUUCUUUUAUUUUUGAGAAUCUUUGUUGAAAACUUUGUGGUGUAACAGUUUGAGGUCUCCUUCCAAGUCAAGUUUAUUUUAAAAUGUGGUUUUAAUGGCUGUCGUCACUUAAAAUAUCUCAAAAGAUAAGCAAGCCUACUUGAAAAAAUCACCCGGUCUCAGGGUUUACUAAAUCAAACUGCUCAUUUCGGUUGUAUGCACAAAUCACGCACAGGUUUUAACUGAAAUUUAAUUAGUUAAAUUUCCAUCUUCUUUGAAGUCCAUCAGUCUUUUUUUUAACAAACCAAUUAAACAGUAUCAAG